GAUAACUCGCGGAAGCAGGCGGAGGUAAUUGGUGGUGUGCAAGGUGUAUCCGGGUUUGGUGGGUUUAAAGGGUCCGUAGGUGGUUUGAUAAGUCAGUGGGGAAAUUACCGAGCUUAAGUUGGGAGCUGCCAUUGAUACUGUUAGACUUGAGUGCAGAUGAGGUUGGCGGAAUGGGGCAUGUAGCUGUGAAAUGCUUAGAUAUGCCUCGGAACACCGAAUGCGAAGGCAGCUGGCUAAACUGCAACUGACACUAAUGGACGAAAGCGUGGGUAGCGAACAGGAUUAGAUACCCCGGUAGUC
RNAcentral lists this ribosomal RNA (300 nucleotides) under uncultured Acidianus sp. RNAcentral's name for it is "bacterial SSU rRNA". It matches the Rfam family "Bacterial small subunit ribosomal RNA", at positions 496 to 795 of the family's 1533-position model. The record is from RNAcentral. Lineage: Archaea; Thermoproteati; Thermoproteota; Thermoprotei; Sulfolobales; Sulfolobaceae.